RNAcentral lists this long non-coding RNA (241 nucleotides) under Daucus carota (carrot). RNAcentral describes it as "long non-coding RNA (DCAR_LNC003795)". The record is from RNAcentral. Lineage: Eukaryota; Viridiplantae; Streptophyta; Magnoliopsida; Apiales; Apiaceae.
UCUCUGAUCGCGAAACUCUAGGCAUACUCAUAGUGAGUACAAUCUUCGUGGUGUUCUUGAUGAUUGUUGGAUCGGUGAUUAGAGCGGGCACACGCAGGAUGAGUCCAAGAGAGGGGAGAAAGGCCGAAGUAGAAGCUCUUAAAAGUGGAUGUUGGUGCCGAUUUGUUAUGCUCAUCUCUCCAAGAAGUUUUGGUUAAUGUCGGUUGCUUGUGGUUGCAAUAUUUGUUGAUUUUGCUUUUGA